This 337-nucleotide unclassified non-coding RNA is filed under the name soil metagenome. Its description in RNAcentral is "partial contains 5.8S ribosomal RNA, internal transcribed spacer 2, and large subunit ribosomal RNA". The stretch from base 1 to 120 matches the Rfam family "5.8S ribosomal RNA", at positions 35 to 154 of the family's 154-position model. The record is from RNAcentral.
GAUGAAGAACGUAGCGAAAUGCGAUAAGUAGUGUGAAUUGCAGAAUUCAGUGAAUCAUCGAAUCUUUGAAUGCACAUUGCGCCCCUUGGUAUUCCAUGGGGCAUGCCUGUUCGAGCGUCAUUUGUACCUUCAAGCUCUGCUUGGUGUUGGGUGUUUGUCUCGCCUCUGCGUGUAGACUCGCCUCAAAACAAUUGGCAGCCGGCGUAUUGAUUUCGGAGCGCAGUACAUCUCGCGCUUUGCACUCAUAACGACGACGUCCAAAAGUACAUUUUUACACUCUUGACCUCGGAUCAGGUAGGGAUACCCGCUGAACUUAAGCAUAUCAAUAAGCGGAGGA